This 69-nucleotide transfer RNA is filed under the name Ictidomys tridecemlineatus (thirteen-lined ground squirrel). RNAcentral's name for it is "Spermophilus tridecemlineatus (thirteen-lined ground squirrel) tRNA". It matches the Rfam family "tRNA". Rfam says of the family: Transfer RNA (tRNA) molecules are approximately 80 nucleotides in length. Their secondary structure includes four short double-helical elements and three loops (D, anti-codon, and T loops). The record is from Rfam by way of RNAcentral. Lineage: Eukaryota; Metazoa; Chordata; Mammalia; Rodentia; Sciuridae.
GGGGUUGUGGCUCUGUGGUAGAGCGCUUGCCUAGCAUGCGUGAGGCACUGGGUUCGAUCCCCAGCACCA